UUCCCCUACGGGGCGCAGCAGUGGGGAAUAUUGCGCAAUGGGGGAAACCCUGACGCAGCAACGCCGCGUGCAGGAAGAAGGUCUUCGGAUUGUAAACUGUUGUCGCAGGGGAAGAAGACAGUGACGGUACCCUGUGAGAAAGUCACGGCUAACUACGUGCCAGCAGCCGCGGUAAUACGUAGGUGGCGAGCGUUGUCCGGAAUUACUGGGUGUAAAGGGAGUGUAGGCGGGAAAGCAAGGCAGAAGUGAAAACUAUGGGCUUAACCCAUAGCCUG
This 275-nucleotide ribosomal RNA is filed under the name uncultured bacterium. RNAcentral's name for it is "partial 16S ribosomal RNA". It matches the Rfam family "Bacterial small subunit ribosomal RNA", at positions 334 to 623 of the family's 1533-position model. The record is from RNAcentral.